CUUCAUCUUCUCACUUCAUCCUUCACAAGCAUCCUGCUGCUACCAUAAAAAAAAAACUAAUAUAACAAGUAAAUUCGAAGCAAAAACAAUAUUGAAUUAUAUUAACAAUAUAACUGGGUACCUGGAAUGUGCACCUUCAUUGGUGUAUUUAUGACGAACAACCCGCGCAACGAGGAGAGCGCACCGGCCGGCAAACCGCCGAAGCGAGAGAGGGGAUCGAGGAGGAGCGAAGCGGGGACGGCAGAGCUAGCUCAGGCCUGGAGAGAACUCAUGCGAGAAACCGAACUUCUUCCUGCUUUUUUCAAAGGCGCUUACUGCAGACUAAAAAGGUGGACACCGCCCCGCCUCCACACUCACUGUCACUGGCAGCAGGACAUCUUUCACGUGGGAACGGCUCGACCGGCUAAAUUGGACUCACAUCAGUAGAUUUGUUUAUUUUAUUUUAUUUACACCCUUUGGGAAAGGUUUCAUUGUUUAGUUUUUUCAUUGUAAAUAAAUUAAUGUAAAGGUGUACAUUUUGGUUUAAUUGUU
Long non-coding RNA from Cimex lectularius (bed bug), 531 nucleotides. RefSeq lists it as uncharacterized. The transcript has 2 exons. The record is from RefSeq and is a predicted model, not a curated record. NCBI's taxonomy places the organism in Eukaryota, Metazoa, Arthropoda, Insecta, Hemiptera, Cimicidae.